This is a non-coding RNA of Sus scrofa (pig), 2131 nucleotides long. Lineage: Eukaryota; Metazoa; Chordata; Mammalia; Artiodactyla; Suidae. The record is from RefSeq and is a predicted model, not a curated record.
GGCUGGCAGCUAUAGGUCCGAUUCGACCCCUAGCCUGGGAACUUCUAUAUGUUGCCCUAAAAAGACAAAGUGCUAGUCAAUGAGAUAUAAACUGAAGUGUAUAUUACUUCCAGGAAGUCUCAAUAAGAGGGAACUUCUGUGCUAACUCCAUUCCACUUUUGUCCUCCUGCUGUCUGGAACACAGAUGUGACAGGGCUUUAAGCAGCCAUUUUGUGGCUACGAGGUGAUGUAAAAAAUGGAAAACACCUGCCAAGGAUGAUGAAGCAUAAAGUUUUUAAAGUCAGGUCAUUAAGGUUACUAUGAAGGUAACAUUCCCAGUGCUUAACUAUCUAUCUGCACAUCUUUUUUUUUUCAAAUGAGGAAUAAACAUAUGUCCUAUUUAAGCCACUGUUAUUAUUUAGUUAUAAAUACAGCAGAACUUAAUCCUAAUUAAUUCACUUGUUCUUCCAGGCCUGUGACCCAGGCUCUGAUAACUGCACUCAGCGGUGCGGAAUCUCAGUUCUAAGAAGCAGGCCCUGAGAAUUUGUUAUCUGGCGAGGGGAAUGGUAGAGGGAUCAGGACUUUGGAGGCAGCAGUAAUGAGACAUUCACAUCUUUGCCACAUGUCGCUGGUUGGAGCUCCACUGUCUGUGUCCAGCAGUGGCUGUGGGGUUGUCUUUAGGACAGUCCCAUAUGUGGUGAGGCACACUUCCUGGCUACCCAGCUGCCAAGGCCACCUUUCUGGCCCUCCCAGGGAUUCAGUGAGCUACCCAAUACCUCUAGAAAUUUUUUUUCCUGUUUUAGUAGCAACAAGGUCUAUGUGAAGAUAAAGGCCUUAUCUUUAAUACUUUAGUCUCUGUCCUCCUUGCCUGAAAAUACUGGCUUAAACCCAAGGUUUCUCCUUGUCUUCGAUUUAUCCUCACUUUCCUGGGUGUGGGAGAGACUGCAGACAGCCACCAAUUCUAUUCUUCUGUUGAAAUAUGUAUCCACCCUUGGGACUAGGUAAAGCCACACAACUGAUCACAAAUGGGAUGUGAUUAAUUGUGAUGUUUGCAAUUUCUGCCUCACUUGUAUGAUGGAAAGUUGCUUCCUUGGUUUACUCUAUUUUCUUUCCCAUACUCAUAAUAUAGCUUCAACCAAGGAAAUGAGGAAGCAACCUUGUGAAUGGCAGAGCCACAGGAUGGAAGGAGCCUGCGUUCCUGAAUGACUUCAUGGAGUGCAGCAGCCUCAAUAGUCUGGAUUAUUCCCCAUGGAACAUGAAAGAAGAAUAAACUUCCAUUUUCUAGGAAAAGAUACACACUGGAUGGUGUAGAAGCACUGCCAUGAGGUGCCAAAGCAUCCCAAGUCUUGAGGAGUGUGCCAGACCCUAGUCACAAGAAAAUCGUCUUUUUUGGUUGCCUCAGUUUGAAGUAUUCGCAUUCUACUACCUCUACUUCUACUCCAGACUUUAAAAUUUGGCAGUUUUGGAGACCAUGAAGGGACCCAGAGCUGAUUUUUCGUCACCUGAACUUUGAAAGGAUCUGAAGACUUUAUACCAGCAAGGUCCAUUGUCCCCUCCACUUCCUCAGUAAGUUGCAGAUUUAGGUGCAUCUCUUCUGGUCUCAGAUCUCUCACCUUGGUUAACAAUCCUGUUUUGUUCAUGGUGGAUAAAAAAGGUACCUCACUUCUCAGUUGAAAGAUACUAAGUGCCUAGUUAAGAGACAUUGGGAAGUUUGGAAUAGGUAAAGGGAUAGUUGAUGGCUUUCCUUGAAUUGACUUAGUUUAACAGAGUUGUUGGAAUCAAAGUGUAGAUACUAUAUGAGAAUUCUUAGCUCCAAAGAUAAGGGACACAGCUCUAUCUUGGCCUCUUGGCCACAGAUACUCUUGAGGUAAGAGUAUCUCAGACAACCGAGAAACAUGCAGUACUGGUAGAGGCAAGUCCUCAUGCAAUAACAGCUGUUCCUGAGGGAAAACCCUAUCUUUAAAGAAACUCACCCAUCUGGGGAUGCACAAAGAUUUGGCCACCCAGCGUUCCCAGUGCUCAUGGUGGUUUUAGCUUGUAGGAGAAAGAAAGUGAAACAAUUAAAAAACUGAAACAGAGGAGUUCCCAUUGUGGCUCAGGGAGUUAGGAACCCAAUUAAUAUCCAUGAGGAUGCAGGUUUGAUCCCUGGCAU